CCUACGGGAGGCAGCAGUGGGGAAUAUUGGGCAAUGGGCGCAAGCCUGACCCAGCAACGCCGCGUGAAGGAAGAAGGCUCUCGGGUUGUAAACUUCUUUUAAUAGGGAAGUGAAGAAGACGGUACCUCUUUAUUAAUCCACGGCUAAAUACGGGCCAGCAGCUGCGGGAAUACGUAGGUGGCAAGCGUUGGCCGGAUUUACUGGGUGUAAAGGGCGUGCAGCCGGGAAGACAAGUCAGAUGUGAAAUCCCGCGGCUCAACCGCGGAACUGCAUUUGAAACUGUUUUUCUUGAGUACCGGAGAGGUCAUCGGAAUUCCUUGUGUAGCGGUGAAAUGCGUAGAUAUAAGGAAGAACACCGGUGGCGAAGGCAGAUGACUAGACGGCAACUGACGGUGAGGCGCGAAAGCGUGGGGAGCAAACAGGAUUAGAUACCCGGGUAGUC
This 442-nucleotide ribosomal RNA is filed under the name uncultured bacterium. Its description in RNAcentral is "partial 16S ribosomal RNA". It matches the Rfam family "Bacterial small subunit ribosomal RNA", at positions 338 to 795 of the family's 1533-position model. The record is from RNAcentral.